CCUACGGGAGGCAGCAGUGGGGAAUAUUGCACAAUGGGGGAAACCCUGAUGCAGCGACGCCGCGUGAGUGAAGAAGUAUUUCUGUAUGUAAAGCUCUAUCAGCAGGGAAGAAAAUGACGGUACCUGAUUAAGAAGCCCCGGCUAACUACGUGCCAGCAGCCGCGGUAACCCGUAGGGGGCAAGCGUUAUCCGGAUUUACGGGGUGUGAAGGGAGCGUAGACGGUGUGGCAAGUCAGAAGUGAAAGCCCUGGGCUCAACUCCGGGACUGCUUUUGAAACUGUGUGACUGGAGUGCAGGAGAGGUAGGCGGAAUGCCUGGUGUAGCGGUGAAAUGCGUAGAUAGCAGGAGGAACACCAGUGGCGAAGGCGGCUGACUGGACUGUAACUGACGUGGAGGCUCGAAAGCGUGGGGAGCAAACAGGAUUAGAUACCCGGGUAGUC
Molecule: ribosomal RNA, 440 nt
Filed under: uncultured bacterium
Lineage: Bacteria
Description: partial 16S ribosomal RNA
Rfam family: Bacterial small subunit ribosomal RNA
Source: RNAcentral